RNAcentral lists this ribosomal RNA (396 nucleotides) under uncultured bacterium. RNAcentral describes it as "bacterial SSU rRNA". It matches the Rfam family "Bacterial small subunit ribosomal RNA", at positions 28 to 429 of the family's 1533-position model. The record is from RNAcentral.
GACGAACGCUGGCGGCGUGCUUAACACAUGCAAGUCGAGCGGUAAGGCCCUUUCGGGGGUACACGAGCGGCGAACGGGUGAGUAACACGUGGGUGACCUGCCCUCAGCUCUGGGAUAAGCCUGGGAAACCGGGUCUAAUACUGGAUAUGACUCCAUGACGCACGUUGUGGGGUGGAAAGCCUUGUGCGGCUGAGGAUGGGCCCGCGGCCUAUCAGCUUGUUGGUGGGGUGAUGGCCUACCAAGGCGACGACGGGUAGCCGGCCUGAGAGGGCGACCGGCCACACUGGGACUGAGACACGGCCCAGACUCCUACGGGAGGCAGCAGUGGGGAAUCUUGCGCAAUGGGCGAAAGCCUGACGCAGCGACGCCGCGUGAGGGAUGACGGCCUGGUGUAAC